This 1401-nucleotide long non-coding RNA is filed under the name Cyanistes caeruleus (blue tit). Its description in RNAcentral is "lncRNA (ENSCCEG00000013603.1)". The record is from RNAcentral. Lineage: Eukaryota; Metazoa; Chordata; Aves; Passeriformes; Paridae.
CCCGGCACCUCCGCUGCAGCAGAGGGGUGGGCACUGGCGCGGGGUGGGCACCCAGUGCGUGCCAUGUCCCAGACUGGAGUGGGAGGGAACAGGAAGGAACAGUGUGUCUGCAGUGAGGAAGGGAACAGGAGCUGCUGGUGCAGGGUGUGGGGUUGCCUAGUGACUGUGCAGCGAGGGGGAUGCUGUGCUGCCGUUGCAGUGCGCCGGGGCUGGGCACUGCCGGGGGCUGCCCGGGGGGUUCCUGCACUGCAGCGCAGCCCGGGCAGGGACCCGGUGUCCCUCCGCCUGCUUGGGGCACCGGGGCUGGCAGUGCUCCACAGGCAGUGUGGGAGGGACGGUGCUCAGGGCAUCCCUGCAGUGCCAGGUGGGCGGUGCCUCAGUUCCUCGCAGUGCGAGGCUGGCAGUGCCACAGUGCUGGCAGUGCAGUGAGGGCAGUGCUGCUCUGUCCCUGCCACGGCCCUGCCCCGCGGCCCUGCAGUGCUGGAGGGGUGACAGCCCUACAUCUCCGCAGCACCCCAUGGCCCUGCAGCGCCCUGCAGCCCCGCAGUGCUGGAUGGGUGGCAUCCCUGGAUCGUGUUCCUGCAGUGCUGGAUGGGCGGCAGUCCUGCAUUCCUGCAGUGUCCUGUGUUCCCGAAGUGAUGGCUGCUACUGUUCCUGCAGUGCAGGCAGUGAUGGAUGGCAGGGAGAUGUGGGCUGACAGUGCCCCGUGUCCCUGCAGUGCUGGGUGCAUGGCAGCCCAGCAUCCCUGCAGCGAUCCACGGCUCUCCAUGCCUACAUGGGUGGCAGCCCUGCAUUCCUGCAGUGCCCUGUGUCCCUCAUCCCUGCAUCUGUGCAGUGUCCCACAUCCCUGCCGUGCUGGAUUGGUGUCAGCCCCACAUCCCUGCAGUGCCAGGUGGGUGUCAGCCCCACGUCCCUGCAGAACAGGCAGAGGUCCCCGUUUGGUGCUCCCGUUCCUGCAGUGCUGGCAGCUGCGUGCAGUGCCCUUGUGUCCCUACCGUGUGUGGCAGGCAGUGCCCCUGCACUGGUGGCACACAAUGCUCCAGUGUUUGGGUGGUGAGAAGCUGUCUCAGAGUCUGGCCGGCUCCCAUCGGGUUGUUGGCAGCAGGCUGCCUGCAGUCCACCCUGUUACUGUGCCUCGUUGGGUCUAAUUACAGUUGGUGUGGUGACGAAGAGGGUGGACAGUGGCAGGAGUGGCUUCCUGCAAGUGACAGGGCUGAGGUUUCAAUGACAGGGUUACUCACUCCAGCAGGGCGUUGCAGGAACCUUACAAGCUGGGACGGGUCCUUCGGGGCACUGGAGGCUGCCAGGAGCCAGCCCCAGCAGCCCCUUCCCUUCGGGAGCCGUGCCAGGACCAUGUACAGUACCACAUGGCGCAGUGGGAUAAGCCAGGGAAGUGGGCCG